Equus caballus (horse) is the source of this 7319-nucleotide long non-coding RNA. Lineage: Eukaryota; Metazoa; Chordata; Mammalia; Perissodactyla; Equidae. The record is from Ensembl.
UGGGCUUGCUGUCUUUUCAUCAAAACUCCUAGAAUUUGGCUGACAGCCUAGUUUAUCCCAGGACAUUAGUCAGCCCACAAAUCCCACAUUUGUUUAUUCAGCCUGGAGCAAGUGAAUACUGCCAUUCUCCCAUCUCCUUUGUUGGCAAAUGCUUUGUUAACCUGAAUUGAGUUCUGCAGCACAAAAUGAAGUGACUAAUCUCUUGGGGGUUUUCCCCUCCCAGGUUCUCGUAUGAGCAACUAGAUCUAUAGACCACAAAGCCCCACACUGUCGUUUUCCCUCAUACUGCCCUUUUAUUGUGACAGUUCCACAUCGUACUUAACGAAACCAAUACCUUCCAGAGUGUGGUUGAACUGGCGCCACCAUUAAGAAAAGGAGGUUACUGGACUUUUUAUUGUUGUGAGAAUAUGUUAGCGGUAAAGGGAUGUUGGGUUAAUUAUUUAUACUCACGCAGUCUACUACUGGCCAUUUGUAACAGUUGUCACCUUGUAGUCUCAGAAAGUUUUCCAGCUCUGAAUACAUGGGUCUGAAAGUGUAAAAAGUGGGAAUCUUAACUCAAAACAACCAGCUCAGAUGAGUACACGGUUAAUGUGUGGUAGAUCUGAAAUAUGAAACUGAAAAUAAUGUAUAUCCUUAUGCACUAGGCUGUUUGUCUAUCUACAAAUAUCUGUAAAGGCUUAAAUUUUUUAGUAAAAGUCUGAGGCUCUAAUCUGCUGAAUUGCCAUUGACCAUGAAAGAGUGGUUAGUUUUGGAAGACAACUGUGAUGCAACAUGGUACAAAACAGAGGAAAGGAUAAAGGAAAUCAUAAAGAUAAACCUUCUUGCUGUAAGCCUGAGGUAUUUUUAAAGCAUGGUGCACAUAGCAGCUGGGCAAACAAUUCUUGUUGAUCAUUGGGCCUGUAGAAAUUCUAUUCGGUUCAUAAAGCUUUGAUUCUGUGUUUACCAUUGAUAAUCUGUUUUUCUCUCUCCUCUUCCUCCAACUCUUAGCCAAAACUACCUUCCAGAUGACUUCUUCCUACCACACUCCUCCUCCUUAGAGUAAGAGAAUGUUUUUUUGGAUGCCUCUUUUAAAUUUGAAUCUCCCUAUAUAAAAAUAAUGAAAUGGGAUACAAGAUGGGGUACACAGAGUGACAACCCCACACCCAAGCCUCUGUCCUGCAGCUCCAUAAGCAGGGUUUUGCACUCUACACUCUUCUGGCAUAAUAACCUCUGACUAGCCCAUGUGUAAUGGAGCACAAACAGGAAUUUUAUUAGUUAACAGGUUCCCGAGCACACAGGCUUUUUUCUUGAAUUCACCACCAUAGCUGAGGACUAUUGAUGGGCAACAUAAAUUGUACACUCAAUAAGCUCCAUUAAAAGUGUUCCAUCAGAAAAAAAAAAAAGAGGGGGCUGGCCCGGUGGCACAGAGGUUAAGUUAGCACGUUCUGCUUCUCAGUGGCCCGGGGUUUGCCGGUUCGGAUCCCAGGUGCAGACAUGGCACCACGUGGCACACCAUGCUGUGGUAGGCAUCCCACAAAUAAAGUAGAGGAAGAUGGGCAUGGAUGUUAGCUCAGGGCCAGGCUUCCUCAGCAAAAAGAGGAGGACUGGCAGUAGUUAGCUCAGGGCUAAUCUUCCUCAAAAAAAAAAAAAAAAAAGUGUUCCAAUACUCUCAUCAAAGAAUUCCUAGGAUAGUGAAACAUUGAGAUAUAUAUGAUUGUACAGGUAUUGGGGUGAACAUUCUCUAAUGUCCAGAUGCCUCAGAUUUAGUGGUGGUAGAAUCUCAUUCAUUUUAUGAGAACCAAAUAAACUGUCUGUCCUGACAAUGGUUAGAAAGCAGGAUCAACUCUGCUUUAUGAACAUAUAAGACUGUAAAGCCAUUCAUUACAGUUAGGGCAUUGGAGUGGGGUGUGGGAUAGAGAUGCAUUAUUUUUCAUUGUGAUUUAGGUGACAGAAUGGGAGUCAGUAACAUUCUAGUUUGGAGGAACUAGAGUUUAUUGAUUCAUUGAUUGAUUCAUCAAAAUUUAUUGAAUGAUUUCUAUGUUUUAGGCACUGUAUUUGGUGCUGGGGACAAAAAGAUGAAUAAAGCAUGGUUCCCGCCCUCUAAAUGCCAAUAGCCCUUAGAGAAGACAUGUAAACAAAAAACUACUAUACAAUAUACGCAUUCCAAUCAAGGUAGGUAGGAAGGUCUAAGCACAAUUGAGUGGUCAAUUUCAGUUGCGGAGAGGGCUGUAACAGGGAAGAUUUCCCAGGGAAUGGGAUGUUUGGCUCAAUGAGUAAGCAUUCUUCAGAGAGACAAGGAAGAAUAAGGGCAUCCUGGACAGAGGGAGGAGUGUGUACAAAGGAAAAGUGACAUGUGACAAUAGAAUACACGGAGGAAACUACAAUCAGGCAGAGCUGAGGUGUGCGGCACGUGGUGAAGUGCUAUUUACGUCAUGGCCGUGGCGGUAGAAAUGUAGCAAAUGCCUGCUGCUGGGGCACAGAGAUGGACUAGGUUUCCUCAAAACAGUUCAUAUAUUCUUAUAAGCUAAGAUAGGUAUAAACAGGAGCUCACAGAACCAGAAACCGAUGCACCAGUAAGUGACCUAAAAUGGCAUUUUGUCCAGGGUGGUUGUAGAUUUCGCCUGACCCAGAAGAUCUGAAUUUGGGAGGUAGACCUAGCGUAGCUGGCAGCUGUCUUGUGACACAUGGGGUCUGAAAGCAGAGCCAAUGUAGAAGGACAUAGCAGACAGAUGGGAGAAGAUUAGAUCCUGGUGACUAGCCCGGAUCAAGCCCCUGGAUUAAGCCACCCCUGAAAAAUGUCUAUUUCUGGACUCUUUAUUUACAAGUGAUAAGUCAGUUUGAAUUUUUUGAUCACGUCAGUUUGAUUCUUUUAUUUAUUUUUUGUCAAUUGAAACCUGACAGAUACAUCUGGCCUCUUCAUUUUACAGUUCAGAUGCUAAUAUCCAGUAUGACAGAGUGACUCACUGUCAAGUGGCUAGUUAAAAACUGAGACUAGAACCCAGGCCUCUUGACUCCAGCGUUUUUAAAGCACCUGCAUGGAAGGGCCUAAAUAUAUACGUACCUAGAAAUCUGUUUUGCAGUAACCACAUACUUGAGAGUGUGAUUGAAUUUAGUUCAAAAAUUUCAUUCCUAAGUAACAAUGUUGUGGAAAGAGCAUUCAACCAACAGUCUGGCAUUAUUGGUUCAUGGCCUGCUUUUGCCACUAAUGAUCUUUGUGACCUUGGGCAUGUCUCUCCUGGCCUCAAUUGUUCGUGGGAUGUGAUUAUCUCCAAAUCGUCUUUCAUUUCUGUGAUUCUAAGCAUAAGUGCACUCAAUUUUCAAUUAUCUAUUGUGGAUCUUACAUAUUUCUACAUACUCUGGGGAAAUCUUCGUUCUCGAUUGUUUUUUAUAUUAUUGAAUAAAUCCUAUUACAACCAUUUACCGAACACGGAUGAUUGGCUUGGUGUCGCGAAAGUGAAUAGUCAUUUCUAGUCUGUAUUGCUUACUUAAUUUGCCUUCUCAGACACAGUUCGAUAUUAUUUGUAGCCCCAAAGUAUUAAACCAUGCCUUCUAAUCCAGGGAAUGUGUAAUCCCAGAGAAGAGCAGGAUCAGAGACUGUUCCUGUGCAUCAGUGGGAGCGGUGACGACAUGAGUGUCCAGCUGUCAGAGGGAGGGGUAGAGCAGAGUCCUGAAAAGCGCAGGCAGACUGGGAGCCAAAUGUGUGGACAAAGGCGCUUGCCUGCCCAAAUAGAGUUGGCGUUGGAUCAUAAGUCUCUGGAAGAUCCUCCUCACAGUCAUCACUGUGGAUAACUUUGGGUCCUUUCAGAGUGGUCGCCUUGGAGGUUAAUAACAACUCGUUAACAUUUUUCUUGGUAUGAUGUUAGGAAGCACUUAAUUGCUCGAAGGAUUCUUUUGGAUGAUAUUUUUGUAAUAUCGCACUUAAUUGGAUUCACCGAACUAAGUUUCCAGCUUGUGUAAAGAUCAGCCUGGUCUGUUUCUCAGCCUGUCUACAUUUGAACAGUUCCACUGGCUGGAAAGUGACCCUGGUACUCUGCAAACCCACUUGGGGAGUUUUGGGGAGGGGCUAAGAUAGCAGCUCUGCAGUUUGCUAGAACCAGAUUCCAUUUCCUCUCUAAUCAUUUUUGCCUGUGUGACCCUCUAUACAUAACUUAAAUUCUCUAAGCUUUAGUUUUGUCAUUAGUAAAAUGGGAAUAACAGUAUCUUCCUCAAAGGAUUACCUAACCCAGUGAUUAUUUAUCGCAUAAGCCUAAGUAAAUGUUAUUAGACAAUAUAGUAUUAGUGAGGUUUUCUUUAGACUGUGCUCAAGUGAUGUAUUAGGUUCCAAAGAAGAAAAAUGACAGGAACACAAGACAAUCUAACUUAUAACGCGGGUACACAAUAUGGAGACUCUCCACAGUUUGGUCAUUUCGUUUGAAAGAUAAAGUGGUAGGAUUUGUCUUGUUAAUUACUCCCUUGCUUUGAAACUUUGGGGAAAUUAUUUGACCUCUCUACACUUCUAUUUAUUCAUAGUUAAAUUGAGGAUAAUAUUGCUAUCUUAUUUCAUAGAAGCUGAAAGGAGAUAAUGAAUAUGAAAGUCUUUAUGAGAGUAGAAAACAUGAAUGUGAAAGUUCAUGCUAAUAUGGUACAAUUAACAUUAAAGUUAAUAUUAUCACAGACCAUUCUUUUUUUGCAUGGUACAAAUUGUUUUAUACCUAUACUGGCCCCUGACACUUAUUAAAAUAUUAUUUUCUCUGCUUAUCAAUUUCUGUGAGGCUAAUACUGCCUUCACACUUUAUAAAGGGACCUAGAAAAGCAAUAUUUUGUCAGAUAUUUCAGGCAAAAGAAUAAAAAGAGAACAGUUAUAACUGUGGAAAUUAGGUAGCUAUUGUCAAUAUUUUUUUCUGCCAAGAAAAUAGUCUUUUCCCUCCCAAGAACUAUUAAUUUUGAGGGAAAUAUUUUCACUAUUCAAAAAGAUUAGCUGGAACAUGUGUCAAACUAUUACUUACCUCUGCAAAAUAUUUCUAAGGGCAUCUGUGUAUGCAAAAAUCCCCCAGCAUUUUCACAUCAAGCCACGUGUAUUUAAUAUACACCACCUCAAAGUGGAACAAUGCUGUAGUGAGGAAAAAACAGAGGGAUUUCUAAGAAUAUAUGGGUGUAAUUUUCUGUUAACUGAGAGUGAUUGACAGUUCGUGGAAAUCUACCUCCAAAAUAACCUGCUUGCAGCACCCUUAGUUUUAGUUGGUAUGAAGGAAGCUGCUUGCGGCUUAUCCAUUUAGCUUCCAGAAACUCUCUUUUCCAUCCUAAUUGCUUAAAUCUCUAUGGACAUAUGUAAAAAUCUCUGUUUAUUUAAUGUAGUUUUUUUUAAACUGGUGUUUUUUCUAUUUUUAUUUGAGAGUUGUUGAAAUAAUAUCGUGUAUGUAGAAGUACAAUGUAGUCUAGAUCUAAAGUCAUUAUACAUAAAUAGAGAGUUUUAAUAAAAUUUGAGGGCCUAGAAUUUUCAGAUCCUGUUUUCCAAGGAAGGAGUUUGGUUUCAUCCCAUGUGCAUGGACAAAGAGCAACUGUAUUGUACUGUAAAAAUAGGAGUUUCCAAGUAAGAAAGAGGACUUAGAAGAAAAGGUCAAGUCAAAAUUACCUUAUUUGCAGAACUUGGUUUAAGGGGGGUUAUGAAACUAUGACUAAAUAAUGUCUUUGAUGAAGGAGGUGGGGGGAGGGGGAGAAGCCCCACAGAGACGAACGUGGUCGCUUUGAGAUACAAAGCACACUGUAAGGAAACUGCAGGCUUCAUAUAUGUUUCCUUUUGCCUCCCAGUUAAAAUCCUCGUGCACGCCGACACUCUCAGCAUGUUGCUCGCUCAGAAGUCACAGCUGGGAGCUGGAAGCUAGGAGUGGAGUAGGCUGGGGAAUGAGUUUCUUGGGAUCAUUUUGCUUUUCUUUCUUUUCUUUUCUUUUCUUUUUUUUGUGAGGAAGAUUGGCCCUGAACUAACAUCUGUGCCAAUCUUCCUCUAUUUUGUAUGUGGGAUGACACCACAGUGUGCCUUGAUGAGCAGUGUGUAUGCUGGCACUCAGGAUCUGAACCCACCUGGCCUAUGGAAGCCGCUGGAACUUAAACACUAGGCCACGAGGCUGGCGCUUGUUAUGUAUAUUUAAUGCAUAUAAAAGUAUUAGUUUUCCAUCUAUGGCAGUGACAUAAAGUUUCUUAUUUAAAUACUUUACUUAAAUUAAAAGUGUGAGAUUUAAAGACAAGUAUUAAUAAGAGUUCUGGAAAAACAGGUAUGGCAAAAAACAUGAAGUGGCAUGUGAACAGUCGAGAGUUUAGGAAGCUCCCGUUAUAGACUCCAGUCUAUCUCCUCCCUUAUCCCUGGGCCCGUAAACUCGUUAGACUCUCAAGAGUCAGGAUGUCCUUUCUAUGUUGGCCUUUACCCUAAGAAUGCCAGGCAGGGGCCGGCCUGGUGGCGCAGUGGUUAAGCAUGCACGUGCAGCUUUCACGGCCCUCGUUCAUCGGUUCAGAUCAUGGGUGUGGACAUGGCACUGGGUGGCAAGCCAUGCUGUGCUAGGCAUCCCACAUAUAAAGUAGAGGAAGAUGGGCACGGAUGUUAGCUCAGGGCCAGUCUUCCUCGGAAAAAAGAGGAGGAUUGGCAGAUGUUAGCUCAGGGCUAAUCUUCCUUGGGAAAAAAAGAAAGAAAGAAAAAAAAGAAAAAGAAUGUCAGGCAAUGAUGAGGAAACACACCUCAGGAGAUUCUAGGCGAUCUUUAAGCUAGAGAGUUGUGAUGAAUACAAAAGAAGGAGGCACAGGGUAUGACUGAAGUAGAGAAAAGGACAUUGAGACUCAGCAGUUGGGAUCUGAGAGCAGAAGCUAGCCAAGUGAAGAAGAAGAAAGGAAUGACGUAUUCCAAGCUCAUUUAUUAAACCGCAGCUCCAAGUUGUGAGCUUUGGGGGGGUCUUAAUUUGGGGGAGGUGGGAAGGACUAGGCUAUCUGUAACUUCGUUCCUCACACAGGCUCUCAAGGGUAUGUAGCUUCUGUUACUGCUUCCCCUGCAAAGGACGGAAGGAACAAGGUGAUGGUCUCCCCUCUGACCCCACCCAAGGACCAAUGGGGCAACAGCAAAAGAGGUGGACCACCUAAGGGACCACUACCCACCUAAAAUAAAGGAGUGGGAACGAGAAGGAAUUUCUCCUUUAUUUAAUACAUUGCAGACAUGUUUCAUUUUAUUGUCUGGGGGGUGUCUUAGAGCAGGGAAACUGCGUUUCUAAGAAUGGGGCUCUGUGCAAACUUCUGCAAUACUGGGAGGGGUGAGGCGAGGGAGCGAUGCUGGAAAUCUUGCUCCUCUCCGAAGGGUUGGCGGCUUUCCUUCUUAAGUCAGG